CCUACGGGGGGCAGCAGUGGGGGAUAUUGCACAAUGGGGGAAACCCUGAUGCAGCGACGCCGCGUGUGGGAAGACGGUCCUCUGGAUUGUAAACCACUGUCCCCAGGGACGAAGAUGACGGUACCUGGGGAGGAAGCUCCUGCUAACUACGUGCCAGCAGCCGCGGUAAUAGGUAGGGAGCAAGGGUUGUCCGGAAUUACUGGGUGUAAAGGGAGCGUAGGCGGGAUGGAAAGUUGGGUGUUAAAUCUACAGGCUAAACUGGUAGUUGCAGUCGAAACUGCUAGUCUUGAGUGAAGUAGAGGCAGGCGGAAUUCCUAGUGUAGCGGUGAAAUGCGUAGAUAUUAGGAGGAACACCAGUGGCGAAGGCGGCCUGCUGGGCUUUUACUGACGCUGAGGCUCGAAAGUGUGGGGAGCAAACAGGAUUAGAUACCCUGGUAGCC
RNAcentral lists this ribosomal RNA (440 nucleotides) under uncultured bacterium. Its description in RNAcentral is "partial 16S ribosomal RNA". It matches the Rfam family "Bacterial small subunit ribosomal RNA", at positions 338 to 795 of the family's 1533-position model. The record is from RNAcentral.